Molecule: long non-coding RNA, 318 nt
Filed under: Elaeis guineensis (African oil palm)
Lineage: Eukaryota; Viridiplantae; Streptophyta; Magnoliopsida; Arecales; Arecaceae
Description: long non-coding RNA (EGUI_LNC022855)
Source: RNAcentral
CAGCUGACUACUUGACUAACUGUGCCCUAAAUGGAGAUGCCAUUGAUAUGCAUCAAUUAGUCUCUAGUCCUUAAUUUGCAGGUAUUAUACAGGCUGACAGCAGGUCAAUUCCCUUUAUAAGGUAUAGAAGAAGAUGAAGCUCAUGAUUUUAGUAGUUAUACAUCAUCCUAUUUCUCAAAUGUUUCAGCCUGCUAGUUUGAGUGAUAUGGUCUACUUGAGCCUCCUGGACAUUCUAUGUGUUUGUUUGGCCUUGCCCCCUUACUGCUAUUGCAAUAUGCUUUCUCUUUCAAAUUCAUCUGAUUCUAGUUCAAUCCCUCA